Molecule: unclassified non-coding RNA, 2470 nt
Filed under: Leishmania donovani
Lineage: Eukaryota; Euglenozoa; Kinetoplastea; Trypanosomatida; Trypanosomatidae
Description: gene:LdHU3.30.2530(CDS-product:splicing_factor_3a _putative)
Source: RNAcentral
UCCACACGUUCGCGUGCGGUGAUCAAGGCAGAGAGGUCGCACCAACAUACGUCACCGGUUUCCUGGUGGCUGUCUUCUGUGGUGCGCGUGCGCUCUUGCGCUUCUUUCUUCGUAAUUCAUAAGUGGCGAGCGGACAGUAAGCUGUCGAAGCCCCUGUAAGACGUGAAGCGUCCUUCGCUACCACAGCAUCCUAAUCGACGGCAUCAUUGAUAGCCGUAACCACGAGACCCAUUACUGCGCCCGUCCUUUCCUUUUUUGUUUCUGUCUCUGCUCAAUAUGCAGACCAACGUGCUGGAGCGUAUCCGGGCAUUGGAGGCAGACAUCGAGCGCUGCAUCGACUCCAUCGUGCAACAAGACCUGUUUGCAGCGUCCAUCGAAAACGAGAGGCACCGCAUUCUGCUCGACCACUUCACUCUGCAGCAUGUUGGAAUCGUCCGUUCCACUGCGGAGAAGCUGCUCGACGUGUACUUGGACGAGGACGACAUUGUGCAGGUCCAGAAUGCGCCGGCGGAGAGCCCCGACGACAUCGCGGCAGCUGUAAAGGAGUUCGAGGCGAAGAUCGCCGACAUCCGCGAGUAUCACCACAUCUACCGCGAUCUGCCACCCGUAAAGGAUGAGCUCGCCGUGCCUAGCCCAAGGCUGCUCGAUGACGUCUUCACCGUCCACGAACGCUACGGGGCCUGCUUCGAUAUGGACGCGCACUACAACCGCUACAGCGCCUUUAUGGUGCACACAAAGACGCUGGCGGAGGGGUGUGCUACGGCGUCGGCGGAAGUAAAGAAGGAGCUGGCCCCGCUGUCGCCGUCCUCAGUUCUCAAGUGGUCGUCGAUGUGGCCUGGUCGUUUGGACUUUUUCAGCUUCACAAAGGCGCUGCCGCAGCUGCUGCUUCACGAGGUCGAGGCACACCGCAAGAUUGUAGGCUUUGCCCUCUACAAGCCCUUUGUUGCGGAGCUGCUCGCCUACCUGGAGGGCUUCUACCGUCGCAUCCAUCCUCUUAAGCCAGCUGCGUUGGAGCGUCUCAUGGCGGAUGUGGAGAGUGAUGCGGAGAAGUACUGGGCGUCCCUUGUGGAGGCCAAGGCAGAGGUUACGAGCGUGACGGCGGCGGCGGCCGCAUCCACAGAGGAUGAGCAAGUUGAUGUGCAAAAUGUAGAAGACGAGCGAGCGGAGGAGAGGGAGACAGGCGGUGCAGCAGCGUCGUCGUCCAAUGGCCAGACGGCAGCGCCGGCGCGCAUUGCGGUCGAGAACAAGGUUGCCUGCGGACUUGCGAUCCCGCCAUCGCUGCGGCAGCAAGUCAAAAAAUUUAGCCUGUGGCCGUUGCCCUUGAUAGAGAAGCUGAUAGAGGACGUGGGACAGGCGAGCGGCACCUCUGACGGUGCCGCGGCGUCGACGUCCAAGUACCCCACAAGCGUCACCGACGUGAAGACGGUGUGCCUCAUGGAGGCCAAGGCCGCCGCUCUGCUGCAGUCGCUCCUCUACACCACUUUGGAGACGACCAACAAGUCGCUUUUGCGCGACUACAGCCGCACCUUAGAGGAGCUGGAGAAUGACCGCGAGGUGGCCGAGCAAGAAUUCCUCGACUCAUUGGAGGAGGUGCGCAAGAACUCGGCAGACACGAUGGAGGGUACCGUGGCCCACGCGGCGGAGUAUAACUUGAAGCUCGCUCUCGAGGACAGCAAAGGCAGUCGCCGUGGCCGGCACGGAAAGGCGAGUGCGCCGGCGCCCGUCUCGCCAGCCCCGGCUGCACCAGAGCUGCCGUUAGAGGAGGAAGAGGAACAGCUGAUCGGUGAAAACGGCGAGCCCAUUCCCCGCUGGCUCGCACAGCUGCAUCAGCUGGACAAGAUGUUCCGCUGCGACGUGUGCGGUGGCACUAUCUACAAGGGCCCGAAGGUGUUUCGCGAGCACUUUGGCGCGGAGCGCCACGCGGAGGGUCUGCGCCGCCUCGGCGUGAUGCACCGCCUGAAGAGCUACGAAGGUAUCACUUCCAUUCGACAAGUGGUCGAGAUGCGGGAGCGGCUCACCGGGGGAGAGAGCGGCUUUCGAAAACGACUGCGAGACAACACCGACAACGAGGAAAUCCAAGAUGCUCGCGGCCACGUGGUGACAGCAAAGGAGUAUCUUCGCCUGCAGCAGCGUCGGCGCUGAUCACCACGCUUGGCCAGCUCUCUCCCCUAAAACGCGGCGCGACGGAUCACAAAGCGAGAGAAGAAGAGGCGGCUUUGGGCAGGAAGAGGAGCCGUGGUGCGCUUGUGGUCAUGCCACACACCGCCUGCUUGGCAAUGAGCUUGUCUUGUGACGCUUCGCUUGCUGCACGCGGAGUGCGUUGCCGUGACGAUGAGAUGAGCACCUGCCGAGUCGGAAAGAGCUCCGACGCACCUGUGCGAGCUCGGGGUUCUUCGAUGUAUUCCGCUUGCUUUCUUGGUUGAUGAGAGUGGUGGCGUGGUGCGCAGGUUCGGCGCCGCCUGCGAAGAGU